This 552-nucleotide ribosomal RNA is filed under the name Aureobasidium pullulans. Its description in RNAcentral is "eukaryotic LSU rRNA". It matches the Rfam family "Eukaryotic large subunit ribosomal RNA", at positions 88 to 655 of the family's 3401-position model. Lineage: Eukaryota; Fungi; Ascomycota; Dothideomycetes; Dothideales; Saccotheciaceae. The record is from RNAcentral.
GGCGAGUGAAGCGGCAACAGCUCAAAUUUGAAAGCUGGCCUUCGGGUCCGCAUUGUAAUUUGUAGAGGAUGCUUUGGGUGAAACGCCAGUCUAAGUUCCUUGGAACAGGACGUCAUAGAGGGUGAGAAUCCCGUAUGUGACUGGAAAUGUUAACCUAUGUAAAGCUCCUUCGACGAGUCGAGUUGUUUGGGAAUGCAGCUCUAAAUGGGAGGUAAAUUUCUUCUAAAGCUAAAUAUUGGCGAGAGACCGAUAGCGCACAAGUAGAGUGAUCGAAAGAUGAAAAGCACUUUGGAAAGAGAGUUAAAAAGCACGUGAAAUUGUUGAAAGGGAAGCGCUUGCAAUCAGACUUGUUUAAACUGUUCGGCCGGUCUUCUGACCGGUUUACUCAGUUUGGACAGGCCAGCAUCAGUUUCGGCGGCCGGAUAAAGGCUCUGGGAAUGUGGCCUUCACUUCGGUGAAGGUGUUAUAGCCCAGGGUGUAAUACGGCCAGCCGGGACUGAGGUCCGCGCUUCGGCUAGGAUGCUGGCGUAAUGGUUGUAAGCGACCCGUCUA